GACGAACGCUGGCGGCGUGCUUAACACAUGCAAGUCGAACGGAAAGGCCCUGCUUUUGUGGGGUGCUCGAGUGGCGAACGGGUGAGUAACACGUGAGUAACCUGUCCUUGACUUUGGGAUAACUUCAGGAAACUGGGGCUAAUACCGGAUAGGAGCUCCUGCUGCAUGGUGGGGGUUGGAAAGUUUCGGCGGUUGGGGAUGGACUCGCGGCUUAUCAGCUUGUUGGUGGGGUAGUGGCUUACCAAGGCUUUGACGGGUAGCCGGCCUGAGAGGGUGACCGGCCACAUUGGGACUGAGAUACGGCCCAGACUCGUACGGGAGGCAGCGGUGGGGAAUAGUGCACAAUGGGCGGAAGCCUGAUGCAGCAAAGCCGCGUGCGGGAUGACGGCCUUCGGGUUGUAAUCCGCUUUCGCCUGUGACGAAGCGUGAAUGACGGUAAUGGGUAAAGAAGCACCGGCUAACUACGUG
This 468-nucleotide ribosomal RNA is filed under the name uncultured bacterium. Its description in RNAcentral is "partial 16S ribosomal RNA". It matches the Rfam family "Bacterial small subunit ribosomal RNA", at positions 28 to 507 of the family's 1533-position model. The record is from RNAcentral.